RNAcentral lists this ribosomal RNA (251 nucleotides) under uncultured bacterium. RNAcentral's name for it is "partial 16S ribosomal RNA". It matches the Rfam family "Bacterial small subunit ribosomal RNA", at positions 524 to 774 of the family's 1533-position model. The record is from RNAcentral.
UACGUAGGGCGCAAGCGUUGUCCGGAAUUAUUGGGCGUAAAGAGCUCGUAGGUGGCUUGUCGCGUCUGCCGUGAAAACCCGAGGCUCAACCUCGGGCGUGCGGUGGGUACGGGCAGGCUAGAGUGUGGUAGGGGAGACUGGAACUCCUGGUGUAGCGGUGAAAUGCGCAGAUAUCAGGAAGAACACCGAUGGCGAAGGCAGGUCUCUGGGCCAUUACUGACGCUGAGGAGCGAAAGCGUGGGGAGCAAAUA